GUGUCAGCAGCCGCGGUAAUACGAAGGGUGCAAGCGUUAAUCGGAAUUACUGGGCGUAAAGGGUGCGUAGGCGGUUUGUUAAGUUCGAUGUGAAAGCCCUGGGCUCAACCUGGGAAUGGCAUCGAAGACUGGCAGACUGGAGUGCGGUAGAGGAUGGUGGAAUUCCCGGUGUAGCGGUGAAAUGCGUAGAGAUCGGGAGGAACACCAGUGGCGAAGGCGGCCAUCUGGACCAGCACUGACGCUGAGGCACGAAAGCGUGGGGAGCAAACAGGAUUAGAUACCCUGGUAGUCCACGCCCUAAACGAUGCGAACUGGAUGUUGUGGGCAACUAGGCCCUCAGUAUCGAAGCUAACGCGUUAAGUUCGCCGCCUGGGGAGUACGGUCGCAAGACUGAA
Molecule: ribosomal RNA, 395 nt
Filed under: uncultured bacterium
Lineage: Bacteria
Description: bacterial SSU rRNA
Rfam family: Bacterial small subunit ribosomal RNA
Source: RNAcentral